UAUGGCCACAUCAUAUUGAAACACCAGUUCUCGUAAGAUCACCAAAGUUAAGCAAUGUUGAGCCUGGUCAACAACUAGAUAGGUGAGCACUUGGGAAUAACAGGUAUUGUAAG
Molecule: non-coding RNA, 113 nt
Organism: Acanthosepion pharaonis
Lineage: Eukaryota; Metazoa; Mollusca; Cephalopoda; Sepiida; Sepiidae
Source: the annotation of a GenBank genome assembly